Molecule: ribosomal RNA, 429 nt
Filed under: Fusobacteriota bacterium
Lineage: Bacteria; Fusobacteriati; Fusobacteriota
Description: Fusobacteria bacterium partial 16S ribosomal RNA
Rfam family: Bacterial small subunit ribosomal RNA
Source: RNAcentral
UGGGGAAUAUUGCGCAAUGGGCGAAAGCCUGACGCAGCGACGCCGCGUGAGGGAUGAAGGUUUUCGGAUCGUAAACCUCUGUCAGAAGGGAAGAAACCGCACUGUGCUAAUCAGCAGUGCCUUGACGGUACCUUCAAAGGAAGCACCGGCUAACUCCGUGCCAGCAGCCGCGGUAAUACGGAGGGUGCAAUCGUUAAUCGGAAUUACUGGGCGUAAACCGCACGUAGGCUGCUUUGUAAGUCAGGGGUGAAAUCCCACGGCUCAACCGUGGAACUGCCUUUGAUACUGCUUAGCUUGAAUCCGGGAGAGGGUGGCGGAAUUCCAGGUGUAGGACUGCACUCCGUAGAUAUCUGGAUGAACAUCAGUGGCGGAGGCUGCCACCUGGACCGGUCUUUACGCUGAUGUGCGAAAGCGUGGGGAGCAAACCGG